CAGUCGCCGGGUAAUACGUAGGGUGCGAGCGUUAAUCGGAAUUACUGGGCGUAAAGCGUGCGCAGGCGGUUUUGUAAGACAGGCGUGAAAUCCCCGGGCUCAACCUGGGAAUGGCGCUUGUGACUGCAAAGCUAGAGUGCGGCAGAGGGGGAUGGAAUUCCGCGUGUAGCAGUGAAAUGCGUAGAUAUGCGGAGGAACACCGAUGGCGAAGGCAGCCCCCUGGGCCAAUACUGACGCUCAUGCACGAAAGCGUGGGGAGCAAACAGGAUUAGAUACCCGCGUAGUCCCUGUCUCUUAUACA
RNAcentral lists this ribosomal RNA (301 nucleotides) under uncultured bacterium. Its description in RNAcentral is "partial 16S ribosomal RNA". It matches the Rfam family "Bacterial small subunit ribosomal RNA", at positions 512 to 808 of the family's 1533-position model. The record is from RNAcentral.